RNAcentral lists this ribosomal RNA (322 nucleotides) under uncultured eukaryote. RNAcentral's name for it is "partial 18S ribosomal RNA". It matches the Rfam family "Eukaryotic small subunit ribosomal RNA", at positions 1470 to 1796 of the family's 1831-position model. The record is from RNAcentral.
CCCUUAGAUGUUCUGGGCCGCACGCGUGCUACACUGAGUGGAUCAGCGGGUCAGGUUGCGCGAAAGCGUUUCCUAAUCUUGAAAUCCGCUCGUGAUGGGGAUUGACGGUUGCAAUUUUCUGUCAUGAACGAGGAAUACCUUGUAAGCGCGGGUCAUCAUCCCGCGCUGAAUACGUCCCUGCCCUUUGUACACACCGCCCGUCGCUCCUACCGAUUGAGUGGUCCGGUGAGGCUUUGGGAUCUGAGCGGAAAGAGCGUUUCGCUCGUUCUGCUCGGAAAACUCAGUCGAACCUUAUCAUUUAGAGGAAGGAGAAGUCGUAACA